RNAcentral lists this ribosomal RNA (251 nucleotides) under uncultured prokaryote. RNAcentral describes it as "partial 16S ribosomal RNA". It matches the Rfam family "Bacterial small subunit ribosomal RNA", at positions 524 to 774 of the family's 1533-position model. The record is from RNAcentral.
UACGGAGGAUGCAAGCGUUAUCCGGAUUCAUUGGGUUUAAAGUGUGCGUAGGCGGGCUAUUAAGUCAGUGGUGAAAUUUUGCAGCUUAACUGUAACAGUGCCGUUGAUACUGUUUGGCUAGGAUUUGGUUGUAGUGUGCGGAAUGUGUGGUGUAGCGGUGAAAUGCUUAGAUAUCACACAGAACACCGAUUGCGAAGGCAGCACACUAAGUCAUUAUUGACGCUGAGGCACGAAAGUGUGGGGAUCAAACA